This 1977-nucleotide small RNA is filed under the name Rattus norvegicus (Norway rat). RNAcentral describes it as "uncharacterized LOC103693125". Lineage: Eukaryota; Metazoa; Chordata; Mammalia; Rodentia; Muridae. The record is from RNAcentral.
AUGCGAAAUGCAUGGAAAUUAAGAACUCCAUGGAAGGCUCGGAGAAGAAGCCCAAAGAAUAAGAGGAAUUUGGAAUGAAUGCUGGGGAACUCUUUUUUGGAUCUUACUGAGUAGAUCUGAAUUGUUUAUUUACUUGGCAUCCUUACUGUGUGUUCCAGAAUCAUUAGUGUCUUAUAUGUGGUGAAAUGGAAACACUUCAGAACCUGGAUCUGACCCAUUGGAUGCCUCUUGACUAUUCCACGCCCAGAGCUGAUAAGGUGAAGCAAAAAGUGUGCCUGAAGGAGACAGCUCUGUGAAAAAAUGGACUACGCAGGCACCCGAGAUGGUUAUUGGAUAGGAUGGACAUGAAGAAGGCAUCUCGAGAGCUUCAGAGUCUAUGAAAGUGUGGGCCAAGACCACUGAAAGGUGUUGACUUUUUCUCUCGGUUUGAGAAGACACCUUAGCCGGUGAGACCUCCAAGAAGAAUUAUGGUUGACCAAGGGAAGGUGGAGCAGGAUCUCUGGCCUAGGAUCUCACACCACUCCAUGGAAGUGACUAUGACUCACACAACCAAGUUCCAACAGAUCUAGGAUGAAUGCAUCUCCAGCUUUCACCUAUUGCUUGGGAAGCAGGCACAAGAGAACAGACAGCCAGUACACCGCAGUCAUCCAGCCUCUCUCCAGAAGCCAGUGAGGGGUCCGCCUGCCAGCUGCACACCUGCUCCAGCUUGCCCGAUCACGUGGCCCAUUAAGCAGCAAGCUCCCUUCCACGAGAUACCAAGGGCACAUACUCCUGGCAACAUCUUUGAGUGACCAGAGGAAGACAAGAAUGGCUGAAUCCUUCCUCCCUCCAGACCGCCUGGAAUGAGUGAAUUUCCAACAGGCUAAUCUGACAGAGGCAAUUCCACAACUGACAUUCCUUCUUGCAAGAUGACUCUAGUUUGUGUCAAGGUAACUCAAAGCUGACCAGCAACACAUGGGAAGAGGGGAAGGACAGCAGCUAGACCAGUGCAGGUGUGGUUUUCAGAUUGUGUAACUUAGCUCUUUCUGGCUGGUUAGGUGACAUCAAGUGAGUUAAUGAAUCAUGAAGGAUACUGUAACAGUUUUGCCCAUGAAGCAGAUAUGAUAAUUCCUACAAGGGAGCCACAAUAUGCAGCACUUAGUGGGUAACAGCAUUCCUUUUCAGUCACAGACAAAGGUGUUUCUAACUUCCCCUUUGUUUCAUUUUUUCAUGGGUACAAUGUAGUAAACAUGGGUGGAGCCAAGAAGCAACACAUUCAUGCAGGAGAUUGGGUUGUGACUGUCUGGGGAAGGUGUUGGGAGAGUUCAAAUAUCUUCCUGUGCAGGGCCAGAGCAGAAACUAAGCAGGUUGUCAUUUGAAGAGACAUACAAGAUUCGUGAGAGGUCCAGGGGGAGCAUAGGCUGAAUGCUGUCACUUCAUGAGUGUCAAUAACAGAGCAAACAUUAGGAUUGUGUGCAUUUGCAUGGUUGCUACUAGGACAGAAGUCAAUUAAAUUUAUUUUUAAACUUUUGGCAAGUCAAAAAAUACUAAGGGGGAAAUGACAGAAAACAAAAGCCUAGAUAGGGAUGUAGAGGUCCUCAGUUGUGUGAGACAAAGGUCUGAUAGCAGGUGAAAUGGAACCCAGCCAUCUGCUGCCAGGUGGCUGAGUCUGUUCACCAAGAGUAGCCUGUGGCCUGCCUACCAUCCCAUCAGCUCUGUUGGCUUUAAUGAUGGCCAAUGGUCCCUUUUUAUCUCUUCAUAUGACCUUUUCACCAUCGCAUGGUGACUUAAGAUUCUUGGGUGAUUCUGGGUGUUCAUUAGGGCAUGCUUUCUUGACAUAUGUUCAUUAAUUGCAGUCCCCACAGAGGCCAGAAGACUUCAGUCCCUUUAGAAGUAGAGUGGCAUUGAUUGGGAGCCACCAAAUGUGGACUCUAAGAUUAAAACCAAGUCCUCUGUACAAUCUGCAAGCAUUUUUAACUGCUGAACCAUCUUGCCAAU